Molecule: ribosomal RNA, 521 nt
Filed under: Pichia pseudolambica
Lineage: Eukaryota; Fungi; Ascomycota; Pichiomycetes; Pichiales; Pichiaceae
Description: eukaryotic LSU rRNA
Rfam family: Eukaryotic large subunit ribosomal RNA
Source: RNAcentral
CAAGAGCUCAGAUUUGGAAUCGUGUUUCGGCACGAGUUGUAAAUUGCAGGUUGGAGUCUUUGUGGAAGCGUGUGUCCAAGUCCCUUGGAACAGGGCGCCAUUGAGGGUGAGAGCCCCGUGGGAUGCGCGCGGAAGCAGCAAGGCCCUUCUGACGAGUCGAGUUGUUUGGGAAUGCAGCUCUAAGCGGGUGGUAAAUUCCAUCUAAGGCUAAAUACUGGCGAGAGACCGAUAGCGAACAAGUACUGUGAAGGAAAGAUGAAAAGCACUUUGAAAAGAGAGUGAAACAGCACGUGAAAUUGUUGAAAGGGAAGGGUAUUGGGCCCGACAUGGGGAUUGCGCAUCUCUGCUCCUUGUGGGCGGGGCGCUGUGCUUUCCCUGGGCCAGCAUCGGUUUUUGCCGCAGGAGAAGGGGUACUGGAAUGUGGCUCCUCGGAGUGUUAUAGCCAGUGCCAGAUGCUGCGUGCGGGGACCGAGGGCUGCGACAUCUGUCUCGGAUGCUGGCACAACGGCGCAAUACCGCCC